AGUUAAACAGUACGUGAAAUUGUUGAAAGGGAAACGAUUGAAGCCAGUCGUACCUUCGGGUAAUCAGCCUUUCGGGUGCGAUUCUGUGGGGUUUGAGGAGCUUAACACCUUCAUGCUUUGCAUAUCCGUGCUCUUGGGUGUACUUGCCCGUGUGGUUGGUUAACAUCAAUUUUGGUGGUCAUAAAAUGACUGGAGGAAUGUAGCUUCGAUCUUGUAUUGAAGUGUUAUAGCCUUCGGUAGAUGUGAUGAUCGAGAUUGAGGAUUGCAACGGAUACCCUUCGGGGCUACCUGUCUGGUCUCUGAUCGUUGCUCUGGUGCCGAAAGCUUGCUUACGGUUAUCAAAGUCGAUGGUCAAUAGGUUAGAACGGGUUAAAUUCGUUAAGGAUGUUGACGUAAUGGCUUUAAA
This 406-nucleotide unclassified non-coding RNA is filed under the name uncultured Rhizophagus. Its description in RNAcentral is "sequence contains 28S rRNA gene". The record is from RNAcentral. Lineage: Eukaryota; Fungi; Glomeromycota; Glomeromycetes; Glomerales; Glomeraceae.